UACAGAGGUCCCAAGCGUUGUUCGGAUUCAUUGGGCGUAAAGGGUGCGUAGGCGGCGCGGUAAGUCGGGUGUGAAAUCUCGGAGCUUAACUCCGAAACUGCAUUCGAUACUGCCGUGCUUGAGGACUGGAGAGGAGACUGGAAUUUACGGUGUAGCGGUGAAAUGCGUAGAUAUCGUAAGGAAGACCAGUGGCGAAGGCGGCGACCUGGUCCUUGACUGACGCUGAGGCGCGAAAGCGUGGGGAGCAAACAGG
This 253-nucleotide ribosomal RNA is filed under the name uncultured bacterium. RNAcentral describes it as "partial 16S ribosomal RNA". It matches the Rfam family "Bacterial small subunit ribosomal RNA", at positions 524 to 776 of the family's 1533-position model. The record is from RNAcentral.